This is a long non-coding RNA of Antechinus flavipes (yellow-footed antechinus), 1084 nucleotides long. RefSeq lists it as uncharacterized. The transcript has 2 exons. Lineage: Eukaryota; Metazoa; Chordata; Mammalia; Dasyuromorphia; Dasyuridae. The record is from RefSeq and is a predicted model, not a curated record.
CGCCGUGUCCCAACCUCGACCCUCUGGAACCCUGGGGAAUUUAGGGGAAAGAGGACCGACCAAGGAGUCACGUGGAGGCCGCCUCUGGGCGCUGCCAUGACACCUGGGCCGAGCCAAGGCUGGAGCGGUACACUUAAGUUUGAGUCAUAUCCCAAAUAUGGCGACCUCGUCUCCCCUCCUUUUCACCCCUCCAGCGUAUAACCAGACACAGUUACAAAUUUAAUUAAAUUCAAAAAGUGCUGACGCUGUAUUAGACACUGAAGAAACUGAUAAAAAUCAGUCUCUGCCCUCAAGACACUUAUAGUCUACCGAUAGAACUUGUACAAUGCUGUGUGCCAGACGCUGUCCCGGAUGCUGAGGAAACUGACAAAAGUCAGUCAGUCCUUGCCCUCAAGACACGUAGAAUCUACCGAUACAACUGUGGAGAUCGUGCAAGGUUAUUUUUACCUUCUGAAUCAAAUUCUUCCUGUGCAACAAGUGAACUGUUCAAUUCUGCACACAUAUAUUGUAUAUAAGAUAUACUAUAACAUGUUUAACAUGUAUAAGACUGCCUUCCCUCUAGGAGAGGGGGUGGAAGGAGGGAAGGGAAAAAUUGGAACAGAAGUGAGUGCAAGGGAUAAUGUUGUAAAAAAAAUUAUCCUUGUGUAUGUUCUGUCAAUAAAGUCAUAAUAAUAAUAAAAAAAGAUUAUAUGAUGAUCAACUGUGAUGGACUUGAUUCUUUUCAACAAUGAAGUGAUUAAAAGCAAUUGCAAUGGAUUUGUGAUGGAAAGUGCUAUCUGCAUCUGGAUAUAGAACUAUGGAGACUGAAUAUGGAUCAAAGUAUAUUUUUUCACCUUUUGUUGCUGUUGUUUGUUUACUUGUUUUUUUUCUUGUACUUUUUCUUGCACUGUAUGAUGACUAUGGAAAUAUGUUUAGAACAAUUACACAUGUUUAACCUAUUUUGUAUUGCUUGCUGUCUGGAGGAGAGAGGAGGGAGAAGAAGGGAAAAAAUUUGGAACACGAGGGUUUUGCAAGGGUGAAUGUUGAAAACUAUCUUUUCAUGCAUUUGAAAAAAAUAAAAUAUUAUAAAAGUUUUUUUUAAAAA